UACGUAGGGUGCGAGCGUUAAUCGGAAUUACUGGGCGUAAAGCGUGCGCAGGCGGUUUUGUAAGCCAGAUGUGAAAUCCCCGGGCUUAACCUGGGAAUGGCAUUUGGGACUGCAAGGCUGGAGUGCGGCAGAGGAGACUGGAAUUCCCGGUGUAGCAGUGAAAUGCGUAGAUAUCGGGAGGAAUACCGAUGGCGAAGGCAGGUCUCUGGGCUGACACUGACGCUCAUGCACGAAAGCGUGGGGAGCAAACAGG
RNAcentral lists this ribosomal RNA (253 nucleotides) under uncultured bacterium. RNAcentral's name for it is "partial 16S ribosomal RNA". It matches the Rfam family "Bacterial small subunit ribosomal RNA", at positions 524 to 776 of the family's 1533-position model. The record is from RNAcentral.